Molecule: ribosomal RNA, 467 nt
Filed under: uncultured bacterium
Lineage: Bacteria
Description: partial 16S ribosomal RNA
Rfam family: Bacterial small subunit ribosomal RNA
Source: RNAcentral
GACGAACGCUGGCGGCGUGCUUAACACAUGCAAGUCGACCGGAAAGGCCCUGCUUUUGUGGGGUGCUCGAGUGGCGAACGGGUGAGUAACACGUGAGUAACCUGCCCUUGACUUUGGGAUAACUUCAGGAAACUGGGGCUAAUACCGGAUAGGAGCUCCUGCUGCAUGGUGGGGGUUGGAAAGUUUCGGCGGUUGGGGAUGGACUCGCGGCUUAUCAGCUUGUUGGGGGGGUAGUGGAUUACCAAGGCUUUGACGGGUAGCCGGCCUGGGAGGGUGACCGGCCACAGUGGGACAGGGAUGCGGCCCAGACGGCAACGGGAGGCAGGGGGGGGGAAUUGUGGAAGAAGGGCGGAGGGCGGGAGGAACGACGCCGGGGGGGGAAGGGCGGCUUUGGGGUUGGAACCCCUGUGCGCGUAGGACGGGGCGGGGUGAAGGUAAAUGGGGAAAAAGGCACCGCCAAACUAGUG